RNAcentral lists this ribosomal RNA (583 nucleotides) under uncultured bacterium. Its description in RNAcentral is "bacterial SSU rRNA". It matches the Rfam family "Bacterial small subunit ribosomal RNA", at positions 201 to 765 of the family's 1533-position model. The record is from RNAcentral.
UGAAAGAGGGGGAUCGUAAGACCUCUCGCUGCAAGAUGAGCCUGUGUAAGAUUAGCUAGUUGGUGAGGUAAAGGCUCACCAAGGCAACGAUCUUUAGCUGGUUUGAGAGAACGAUCAGCCACAUUGGGACUGAGACACGGCCCAGACUCCUACGGGAGGCAGCAGUAAGGAAUAAUGCGCAAUGGGGGAAACCCUGACGCUGCCAUGCCGCGUGUAUGAAGAAGAUUUUAGGAUUGUAAAGUACUUUUAGCGAUGAGGAAAAGCUUUUGGCUAAUACCUUAAAGCCUUGACAUUAGUCGCAGAAAAAGCACCGGCUAACUUCGUGCCAGCAGCCGCGGUAAUACGAGGGGUGCAAGCGUUAAUCGGAUUUACUGGGCGUAAAGCGCAUGUAGGCGGCAUUGCAAGUUGUAUGUGAAAGCCCCGAGCUCAACUUGNGAACUGCAUACAAAACUGCAUUACUGGAGUGUAGUAGAGGAUAACGGAAUUUCCUGUGUAGCGGUGGAAUGCUUANAUACAGGANAGAACAUCAGUGGCGAAGGCGGUUAUCUGGGCUACAACUGACGCUGAGAUGCGAAAGCGUGGG